AAAAAUUUAGUUAAUCAAUAACAUCAAUUUGUCAAAUUGAAGUAAAUACAAAAUUAUUAAUUUUUA
This 66-nucleotide transfer RNA is filed under the name Paramarygmus sp. PAR01. RNAcentral's name for it is "tRNA-Asp". Lineage: Eukaryota; Metazoa; Arthropoda; Insecta; Coleoptera; Tenebrionidae. The record is from RNAcentral.